GGGCCCGCACAAGCGGUGGAUGAUGUGGUUUAAUUCGAUGCAACGCGAAAAAACCUUACCUACCCUUGACAUGUACGGAACUUGCCAGAGAUGGCUUGGUGCUCGAAAGAGAGCCGUAACACAGGUGCUGCAUGGCUGUCGUCAGCUCGUGUCGUGAGAUGUUGGGUUAAGUCCCGCAACGAGCGCAACCCUUGUCAUUAGUUGCUACAUUUGGUUGGGCACUCUAAUGAGACUGCCGGUGACAAACCGGAGGAAGGUGGGGAUGACGUCAAGUCCUCAUGGCCCUUAUGGGUAGGGCUACACACGUCAUACAAUGGCUGGUACAAAGGGGUUUGCCCAACCCCCGCGAGGGGGAG
Molecule: ribosomal RNA, 356 nt
Filed under: uncultured bacterium
Lineage: Bacteria
Description: bacterial SSU rRNA
Rfam family: Bacterial small subunit ribosomal RNA
Source: RNAcentral